RNAcentral lists this long non-coding RNA (544 nucleotides) under Olea europaea subsp. europaea. The record is from RNAcentral. Lineage: Eukaryota; Viridiplantae; Streptophyta; Magnoliopsida; Lamiales; Oleaceae.
UAAAGGUUGGGGUUACUUAUGGCUCGAUCGCAAGCUAAUACUACUAAUGCUAAUAGAAUAGAAAAGCAAAUGUCCAAAUACUAGGUCUAGUCACGUGGGGUGAACGAUUGAGUAAUGGAAUUUAGUUCGUGAAAUAUAAUCAAAUAGGUUUAAGGCAAUAUUAUCAAAUGGCCAGCACACAACGAAUUAAUUGAUGCAAUUCUAAAAUAAAGAAAUAGCGUCAACUAAAAAUAAAUAGGAUCAGGAACUCCCUGAGUACUGUUGGUUUGAGUCGUCCCAGCGUCGAAUGUCUCCACGCUCUGAACUACUAAGCCCUGAGAUGCCAAGAUAGAAAAUUCCGUGCUCGUCGAGGUGCGGUACUGAACAGUCAACUAAAAUGAACCUGUAAAUGAUGUCAGAAAAAUUAAAAUUCACGAUACUUUUUUUUUUUUUUGACUUUUUUUUUCUCUUUUUUUUUUUUGUCUCUUUUUUUUUUAAUAAUAAUACAAAAUCAGAAUAACAAAAUAAUAAAUGAGCCCAUUUCACAAAUUUGGGCCUAAAUAAC